AGAGUUUGAUCCUGGCUCAGGACGAACGCUGGCGGCGUGCUUAACACAUGCAAGUCACGGGGGUCCCGCGAGGGAUAACCGGCGAACGGGUGCGUAACACGUGAACAACCUGCCCUCGUGUGGGGGAUAGCCGGGCUAACGCCCGGGUAAUACCGCAUACGUUCUCGUGGGGGAGUCCCUGCGGGAGGAAAGCUCUGGCGCACGGGGAGGGGUUCGCGGCCUAUCAGCUAGUUGGCGGGGUAACGGCCCACCAAGGCGACGACGGGUAGCUGGUCUGAGAGGAUGGCCAGCCACAUUGGGACUGAGAGACGGCCCAGACUCCUACGGGAGGCAGCAGUGGGGAAUCUUGCGCAAUGGUCUAACGACUGACGCAGCGACGCCGCGUGUGGGAGGACGCCUUUCGGGGUGUAAACCACUGUUGCCCGGGACGAACAGGUCUAUUCGUAGACCCUGACGGUACCGGGUGAGGAAGCACCGGCUAACUCCGUGCCAGCAGCCGCGGUAAUACGGAGGGUGCGAGCGUUGUCCGGAAUCAUUGGGCGUAAAGGGCGCGUAGGUGGCCCGGUCAGUCUUUGGUGAAAGCGCGGGGCUCAACCCUGCGUCGGCCAGGGAUACUGCCGCGGCUGGAGCACUGUAGAGGCAGGCGGAAUUCCGGGUGUAGCGGUGGAAUGCGUAGAGAUCCGGAAGAACACCGGUGGCGAAGGCGGCCUGCUGGGCAGUUGCUGACACUGAGGCGCGACAGCGUGGGGAGCAAACAGGAUUAGAUACCCUGGUAGUCCACGCCGUAAACGAUGGGCACUAGGCGCUUGGGGGAGCGACCCCCCGAGGGCCGGCGCUAACGCAUUAAGUGCCCCGCCUGGGGAGUACGGCCGCAAGGCUGAAACUCAAAGGAAUUGAUGG
RNAcentral lists this ribosomal RNA (900 nucleotides) under uncultured bacterium. Its description in RNAcentral is "bacterial SSU rRNA". It matches the Rfam family "Bacterial small subunit ribosomal RNA", at positions 8 to 916 of the family's 1533-position model. The record is from RNAcentral.